UUGACUAUUUGCAUUUAUUCUUCUGAGAAAUGUCUAUUUAGAUCAUUUGCACAUUUAUUGAUUCAGAUAUUUGGUAGUGUUUUUUGUUUAAGUUUUAGGGGUUCUUUAUAUAUUUUGAAUAUUAAUACUGUGUCAGAGGAGUAACUGACAAAUGUUCUUUUAUAUAUCUCCCACAUACUUUUGAUUUGUUAAUCAAAAGUUAUAUGUUGGAUAGUUAAUGAUUAAUGACAAAUUUUUAAAACUACAAUUACUUUAUGUAAGCUGAAUUUGAAGUAUUUCAACAGCACUUUAAAUGAUUGAAAGCUUGUUAUUGUCCUAGUGAAAACACAAGAAAACCUAAACCUGCAUGAAUUUUAAGCUAGGGAAGAAUUUUCAAAGACUAUUCAGAUGGUUUGAACACAUACCAUGGUAGUGCCUAACAACAACAACAACAAAAAAAGACAUAAAAUAUUAUAAAACAUCCCAAACCAGAAAGCAAUGAAAACAUUCAAUUUUUAUUUCAAAAAUAUUUUCAUAUACUAUAGAAAAUUUAAAACAUGAAAGCAUUCCUUAUUUCAAUCCUCCCACUUCCAUGGUCUUUCUCAUCUGAGUUAAUGCAACUCCAAACUUCUAGAUGCUCGUGUCAAAAAAUCUAAAAUAACUUUUGACUUCUCUCUUUCUCAUCUUUCCAUUAUCAAAUUUAUUUGAUGCUACCUUUGAAAUAUCCAGGCAUCAAUGUUUUCCCACCAUAUCCACUGUGAGUCACUGACUUCAAACUUUUUUUAAUUUGCAAUGUACUUAUAAUUUGGUUCUGUCAAAUAUUCAUGUGAUUGUGUCACUUCCCUGCACCUAAUCUUCCAAUGAUUUUUCAUUUCUCCUCAGAGACCUUUAAGGUACUUCAUGAUGACAGCCCUCUCCAUAGACCCUCAGGUUCCUUAGAUACAAACUUUCUCUCCUCUCUCUCUCUCUCUCUCUCUCACACACACACACACACACACACACACACAUACACCUUACUGUAUUCUUCUCUCUUCUCACUUUUUACUUUCUCUACCAGGUUUCUAAAAGACUUUCUGCUUUAGUGUAUUUUUCCCUCUACCUGACAAAGCUCUCUUUCUCACUUUCUUGAGAUCUCUAUUCAAAAAUCACCUCAUUAGUAAGAUAUACUGUUGUCCUCCUUCCCACCCUAUCCCCUUUAACUCUGACAAGCUAUAAGUUUAAUUUUCUCUUCUAUCUGCCCUUCCACCUCUCCCAUCACACACUCUAGAAUAUGUUAUUUGCCU
This 1262-nucleotide long non-coding RNA is filed under the name Marmota monax (woodchuck). The record is from RNAcentral. Lineage: Eukaryota; Metazoa; Chordata; Mammalia; Rodentia; Sciuridae.